This 413-nucleotide long non-coding RNA is filed under the name Manihot esculenta (cassava). RNAcentral describes it as "long non-coding RNA (MESC_LNC008783)". The record is from RNAcentral. Lineage: Eukaryota; Viridiplantae; Streptophyta; Magnoliopsida; Malpighiales; Euphorbiaceae.
AAGAUCUGACUGAAAGGGGAGCUGAAGAGUAGUUGGAUUCGGUGGCCGAAAGAUGGCUGAGUUCGGCGGCCGAAGGAUGGUUUCAGUUUGCGAUGGGAGCUGAGGUACAGGGUCCGGCGGCCGAAAGAUGGUGGAGUUCGGCGGCCGAAAAGUCAUGGCUUCAGUUUGCGCAAGUCCUUCCUGAAGUGGUGCGACAGAGCUCUCUUCAGUCUGUGCUUGGCUGCAGUUCACCUGUUGGAUGCAACAGUCAGUUUCUUUCAAUUCUGGCUCUUUCUGAGUCUCUUCCCUGCAAAGAUCAUCAUUUAGUAUAUCAUCUUGAUUUACAUAAAAAACAUUUUCACUCAAACAAUCAAUGAUAUCUAAAUUAUCAACAGGUUCUGUUUGAUCAGUUUGUUUGGACAAACAGUUUUCUG